CCAAAAUCCAACUUUUCUAGACGUCAUAACGGCAACGUCGAAACAACGUCAAAUUAAAACAUCAUUUGACGUUGAUCUGUAGUUAUUUUUAGGUUGUGGCAUUAACUAACCAAAAUCCAACGUCGAGCCAACGUCUCAAGCCAACGUCACACUGACAUCAAAUACUGAUAUUAAGAUGUCAGGUAUGGCAACCAAAAUCCAACGUUAUCUAGACGUCAUAAUGGCAACGUCCAAACAACGUCAAAUUAAAACAUAAUUUGACGUUGAUCUGUAGUUUUUUUUAGGUUGUGGCAUUAACUAACCUAAACCCAACGUCGAGCCAACGUCUCAAGCCAACGUCACAUUGACAUCAAAUACUGAUGUUUAGUCGUCAGGUAUGGCAACCAUAAUCCAACGUUUUCUAGACGUCAUAAUGGCAACGUCCAAACAACGUCAAAUUAAAACAUCAUUUGACGUUGAUUUGUAGUUAGUUUUAGGUUGUGGCAUUAACUAACCAAAAUCCAACGUCGAGCCAACGUCUCAAGCCAAUGUCACACUGACAUCAAAUACUGAUCUUAAGUCGUCAGGUAUGGCAACCAAAAUCCAACGUUUUCUAGACGUCAUAACGGCAACGUCGAAACAACGUCAAAUUAAAACAUCAUUUGACGUUGAUCUGUAGUUAGUUUUAGGUUGUGGCAUUAACCAACCAAAAUCCAACGUUUUUUAGACGUCAUAAUGGCAACAUCCAAACAACGUCAAAUUAAAACAUCAUUUGACGUUGAUCUGUAGUUAGUUUUAGGUUGUGGCAUUAACUAACCAAAAUCCAACGUCGAGCCAACGUCUUAAGCCAAUGUCACAUUGACAUCAAAAACUGAUGUUUAGUCGUCAGGUAUGGCAACCACAAUCCAAAAUUUUCUAGACGUCAUAAUUGCAACGUCCAAACAACGUCAAAUUAAAACAUCAUUUGACGUUGAUCUGUAGUUAGUUUUAGGUUGUGGCAUUAACUAACUAAAAUCCAACGUCGAGCCAACGUCUCAAGCCAAUGUCACACUGACAUCAAAUACUGAUAUUAAGAUGUCAGGUAUGGCAACCAAAAUCCAACGUUUUCUAGCAGUCAUAAUG
This is a long non-coding RNA of Carassius gibelio (silver crucian carp), 1101 nucleotides long. RefSeq lists it as uncharacterized. Lineage: Eukaryota; Metazoa; Chordata; Actinopteri; Cypriniformes; Cyprinidae. The record is from RefSeq and is a predicted model, not a curated record. The transcript has 3 exons.